Molecule: ribosomal RNA, 247 nt
Filed under: uncultured bacterium
Lineage: Bacteria
Description: partial 16S ribosomal RNA
Rfam family: Bacterial small subunit ribosomal RNA
Source: RNAcentral
AUACGUAGGUGGCAAGCGUUGUCCGGAAUGACUGGGCGUAAAGGGCGUGUAGGUGGAUUGAUCAGUCGGAUGUGAAAUACCCGGGCUUAACCUGGGAGCUGCAUUCGAUACGGUCAGUCUUGAGUGCAGGAGAGGGUAGUGGAAUUCCCAGUGUAGCGGUGAAAUGCGUAGAGAUUGGGAGGAACACCAGUGGCGAAGGCGGCUACCUGGACUGUAACUGACACUGAGGCGCGAAAGCGUGGGGAGC